RNAcentral lists this transfer RNA (73 nucleotides) under Puccinia triticina. RNAcentral's name for it is "tRNA-His". It matches the Rfam family "tRNA". Rfam says of the family: Transfer RNA (tRNA) molecules are approximately 80 nucleotides in length. Their secondary structure includes four short double-helical elements and three loops (D, anti-codon, and T loops). The record is from RNAcentral. RNAcentral also lists the same sequence under 1 other name. Lineage: Eukaryota; Fungi; Basidiomycota; Pucciniomycetes; Pucciniales; Pucciniaceae.
GCGCACUUAGCUUAGUUGUUUAAAGCAUCACUCAUGAAUUUUGGGGUCAUGGGUUCAAAUCCCAUAUUGCACA